GUCACUCUAAACGUUCCCGUUCAGCUAGGCAUGGUGCAUCCUCCUCUGCUGCCCCACCUCCUCCAAAUUACCCUUAUCAAGAUGGGUCCAUUUUACAAUUUAAUUGUGACACCGAGCUUACUCGGUUUUUGACAAAAUUUGAAAAGCGUGACAUUCUUCCUCCCCGCUUUUCAACAAGCAAGUAUCUUGAAUCAUAUGCCCCUGCUGCCAACAUGCUUAAAGAAUGCCAACUUCUUGACUUCUUAUUUCUUACCUACCUUUAC
This 263-nucleotide long non-coding RNA is filed under the name Nicotiana benthamiana. RNAcentral describes it as "long non-coding RNA (NBEN_LNC041591)". The record is from RNAcentral. Lineage: Eukaryota; Viridiplantae; Streptophyta; Magnoliopsida; Solanales; Solanaceae.